Molecule: ribosomal RNA, 432 nt
Filed under: uncultured bacterium
Lineage: Bacteria
Description: partial 16S ribosomal RNA
Rfam family: Bacterial small subunit ribosomal RNA
Source: RNAcentral
AACGAACGCUGGCGGCAUGCCUAACACAUGCAAGUCGAACGAGACCUUCGGGUCUAGUGGCGCACGGGUGCGUAACGCGUGGGAACCUGCCCUUAGGUUCGGAAUAACUCCCCGAAAGGGGUGCUAAUACCGGAUAAUGUCUUCGGACCAAAGAUUUAUCGCCUUUGGAUGGGCCCGCGUUGGAUUAGCUAGUUGGUAGGGUAAAAGCCUACCAAGGCGACGAUCCAUAGCUGGUCUGAGAGGAUGAUCAGCCACACUGGGACUGAGACACGGCCCAGACUCCUCCGGGAGGCAGCAGUGGGGAAUAUUGGACAAUGGGCGAAAGCCUGAUCCAGCAAUGCCGCGUGAGUGAUGAAGGCCUUAGGGUUGUAAAGCUCUUUUACCCGGGAUGAUAAUGACAUUACCGGGAGAAUAAGCUCCGGCUAACUCCGU